CGUAGGGUCCGAGCGUUGUCCGGAAUUAUUGGGCGUAAAGAGCUCGUAGGCGGUUUGUCGCGUCUGCUGUGAAAUCCCGAGGCUCAACCUCGGGCCUGCAGUGGGUACGGGCAGACUGGAGUGCGGUAGGGGAGAAUGGAAUUCCUGGUGUAGCGGUGGAAUGCGCAGAUAUCAGGAGGAACACCGAUGGCGAAGGCAGUUCUCUGGGCCGUAACUGACGCUGAGGAGCGAAAGCGUGGGGAGCGAACAGGAUUAGAUACCCUGGUAGUCCACGCCGUAAACGUUGGGCGCUAGAUGCGGGGACCUUUCCACGGUUUCCGUGUCGUAGCUAACGCAUUAAGCGCCCCGCCUGGGGAGUACGGCCGCAAGGCUA
This 373-nucleotide ribosomal RNA is filed under the name uncultured organism. Its description in RNAcentral is "bacterial SSU rRNA". It matches the Rfam family "Bacterial small subunit ribosomal RNA", at positions 526 to 896 of the family's 1533-position model. The record is from RNAcentral.